This 76-nucleotide transfer RNA is filed under the name Vibrio parahaemolyticus. Its description in RNAcentral is "tRNA-Thr". It matches the Rfam family "tRNA". From Rfam's summary of the family: Transfer RNA (tRNA) molecules are approximately 80 nucleotides in length. The record is from RNAcentral. Lineage: Bacteria; Pseudomonadati; Pseudomonadota; Gammaproteobacteria; Vibrionales; Vibrionaceae.
GCUGGAUUAGCUCAGUCGGUAGAGCACCUGUUUUGUAAUCAGGGUGUCAGCGGUUCAAGUCCGCUAUCCAGCUCCA